AAUGGUUAAGCAGAUGGGCUGCUAACCCAAAGGCUGGUGGUUCAAAUCCACCAGCCAUUC
Molecule: transfer RNA, 60 nt
Filed under: Loxodonta africana (African savanna elephant)
Lineage: Eukaryota; Metazoa; Chordata; Mammalia; Proboscidea; Elephantidae
Rfam family: tRNA
About the family: Transfer RNA (tRNA) molecules are approximately 80 nucleotides in length. Their secondary structure includes four short double-helical elements and three loops (D, anti-codon, and T loops). Further hydrogen bonds mediate the characteristic L-shaped molecular structure. tRNAs have two regions of fundamental functional importance: the anti-codon, which is responsible for specific mRNA codon recognition, and the 3' end, to which the tRNAs corresponding amino acid is attached (by aminoacyl-tRNA synthetases). tRNAs cope with the degeneracy of the genetic code in two manners: having more than one tRNA (with a specific anti-codon) for a particular amino acid; and 'wobble' base-pairing, i.e. permitting non-standard base-pairing at the 3rd anti-codon position.
Source: Rfam by way of RNAcentral